RNAcentral lists this transfer RNA (72 nucleotides) under Camelus bactrianus (Bactrian camel). It matches the Rfam family "tRNA". Rfam says of the family: Transfer RNA (tRNA) molecules are approximately 80 nucleotides in length. Their secondary structure includes four short double-helical elements and three loops (D, anti-codon, and T loops). Further hydrogen bonds mediate the characteristic L-shaped molecular structure. tRNAs have two regions of fundamental functional importance: the anti-codon, which is responsible for specific mRNA codon recognition, and the 3' end, to which the tRNAs corresponding amino acid is attached (by aminoacyl-tRNA synthetases). tRNAs cope with the degeneracy of the genetic code in two manners: having more than one tRNA (with a specific anti-codon) for a particular amino acid; and 'wobble' base-pairing, i.e. permitting non-standard base-pairing at the 3rd anti-codon position. RNAcentral also lists the same sequence under 1 other name. The record is from Rfam by way of RNAcentral. Lineage: Eukaryota; Metazoa; Chordata; Mammalia; Artiodactyla; Camelidae.
GAGGGUAUGGCUCAGUGGUAGCGUAUAUACCUAGCAUGCAUGAGGUCCUGGGUUCAAUCCCCAGUAUCUCCA